This 293-nucleotide ribosomal RNA is filed under the name uncultured bacterium. Its description in RNAcentral is "partial 16S ribosomal RNA". It matches the Rfam family "Archaeal small subunit ribosomal RNA", at positions 455 to 747 of the family's 1478-position model. The record is from RNAcentral.
GUGCCAGCAGCCGCGGUAAUACCGGCAGCCCGAGUGAUGACCGAUCUUAUUGGGCCUAAAGCGUCCGUAGCUGGCUACGCAAGUCCGUCGGGAAAUCCACUCGCCCAACGAGUGGGCGUCCGACGGAAACUGCAUAGCUUGGGACCGGAAGGCUCGAAGGGUACGUGCGGGGUAGGAGUGAAAUCCCAUAAUCCUGGACGGACCACCGGUGGCGAAAGCGCCUCGAGAGGACGGACCCGACAGUGAGGGACGAAAGCCAGGGUCUCGAACCGGAUUAGAUACCCGUGUAGUCC